Molecule: ribosomal RNA, 253 nt
Filed under: uncultured bacterium
Lineage: Bacteria
Description: partial 16S ribosomal RNA
Rfam family: Bacterial small subunit ribosomal RNA
Source: RNAcentral
UACGUAGGGGGCAAGCGUUGUCCGGAUUUAUUGGGCGUAAAGAGCGUGUAGGCGGCCGUACAGGUCAGCUGUGAAAACUCGAGGCUCAACCUCGAGACGUCGGUUGAAACCGUACGGCUAGAGUCCGGAAGAGGAGAGUGGAAUUCCCGGUGUAGCGGUGAAAUGCGCAGAUAUCGGGAAGAACACCCGUGGCGAAAGCGGCUCUCUGGAACGGUACUGACGCUGAGACGCGAAAGCGUGGGGAGCGAACAGG